GACGAACGCUGGCGGCGUGCUUAACACAUGCAAGUCGAACGGAAAGGCCCUGCUUUUGUGGGGUGCUCGAGUGGCGAACGGGUGAGUAACACGUGAGUAACCUGCCCUUGACUUUGGGAUAACUUCAGGAAACUGGGGCUAAUACCGGAUAGGAGCUCCUGCUGCAUGGUGGGGGUUGGAAAGUUUCGGCGGUUGGGGAUGGACUCGCGGCUUAUCAGCUUGUUGGUGGGGUAGUGGCUUACCAAGGCUUUGACGGGUAGCCGGCCUGAGAGGGUGACCGGCCAAAUUGGGACUGAGAUACGGCCCAGACUCCUACGGGAGGCAGCAGUGGGGAAUAUUGCACAAUGGGCGGAAGCCUGAUGCAGCAACGCCGCGUGCGGGAUGACGGCCUUCGGGUUGUAAACCGCCUUCGCCUGUGACGAAGCGUGAGUGACGGUAAUGGGUAAAGAAGCACCGGCUAACUACGU
RNAcentral lists this ribosomal RNA (467 nucleotides) under uncultured bacterium. Its description in RNAcentral is "partial 16S ribosomal RNA". It matches the Rfam family "Bacterial small subunit ribosomal RNA", at positions 28 to 506 of the family's 1533-position model. The record is from RNAcentral.